Molecule: long non-coding RNA, 235 nt
Filed under: Elaeis guineensis (African oil palm)
Lineage: Eukaryota; Viridiplantae; Streptophyta; Magnoliopsida; Arecales; Arecaceae
Description: long non-coding RNA (EGUI_LNC053151)
Source: RNAcentral
CUUUAAGUGUCUUUUAUAACUUCAAAUAAUGGUGGAGAGUAAUCUGGACUAAAAUAGAGCCAUUGGAGCACAUUAAAUGGGCAUUAAAUGCAGCCAAAAUGAGUUGAAAACUAGCCGUUGCGAAAUUUUUUCGUCACAGGGGUCGACUCAUGCUCAUGAGUCGACUCAUGGGGUCAACUUCUGUGGGACAGAACAAAAAAUGACUAUUCUAUAAUUUUAGCCUACACAGCAGCAG